UGGGAGAGCGGAGGGAGGCGAGCUCGCAAAGAUGGAGGAGCGGAGGAAAAGGAGGCGGUGGCUGUGGCUAUGAAGGGCUGCGGCGGGCGGCUCUAGCACGGACGGGGAGGGGGGGACGCGAUCUGGGGCCGGGCCCGGGCCUGGGCAUUGCAGCGGGGCCCUCCUGUGCGCGGGCAUCGGCCAGCGGGGGGGCAGGAGGGCGCCAGCAGGACCCCGCAGCCUCUUGCAGGGUCCCGUGGAAGGAUUUGCUCUCUUGCCUCAAAGGAUGUCCCAGCUGUGUUGGCCGAACAGCAUCUGACCACCUCUGCCCCACUCCCCACGAGAACACCGCUGGAGGCCUAGCUCUGAGAACAGCUCCUUCCUGAUCUAUCGGCAAGCAGCCGCCUACCAACCAGGACAACAUGAACUCCAAGAACGAGUCAGCUACCAAACAACUGGCCAAAACAUCUGGGGCAUCAUCUGGGUGACCAUCCAUCAGCAGAUACAACUGGGUAACAGCACUGUACUGAUGACAUCCUAGUCCAAACC
Molecule: long non-coding RNA, 528 nt
Organism: Sphaerodactylus townsendi
Lineage: Eukaryota; Metazoa; Chordata; Lepidosauria; Squamata; Sphaerodactylidae
Exons: 3
Source: RefSeq, a predicted model, not a curated record